CCUACGGGGGGCAGCAGUGGGGAAUAUUGGACAAUGGGGGCAACCCUGAUCCAGUCAUGCCGCGUGUGUGAAGAAGGCCCUCGGGUUGUAAAGCACUUUCAGUGAGGAAGAACGCCUGGUGGUUAAUACCCAUCAGGAAAGACAUCACUCACAGAAGAAGCACCGGCUAACUCCGUGCCAGCAGCCGCGGUAAUACGGAGGGUGCGAGCGUUAAUCGGAAUUACUGGGCGUAAAGCGCGCGUAGGUGGCUUGAUAAGCCGGUUGUGAAAGCCCCGGGCUCAACCUGGGAACGGCAUCCGGAACUGUCAAGCUAGAGUGCAGGAGAGGAAGGUAGAAUUCCCGGUGUAGCGGUGAAAUGCGUAGAGAUCGGGAGGAAUACCAGUGGCGAAGGCGGCCUUCUGGACUGACACUGACACUGAGGUGCGAAAGCGUGGGUAGCAAACAGGAUUAGAUACCCGAGUAGUC
RNAcentral lists this ribosomal RNA (465 nucleotides) under Vreelandella stevensii. RNAcentral's name for it is "partial 16S ribosomal RNA". It matches the Rfam family "Bacterial small subunit ribosomal RNA", at positions 338 to 795 of the family's 1533-position model. Lineage: Bacteria; Pseudomonadati; Pseudomonadota; Gammaproteobacteria; Oceanospirillales; Halomonadaceae. The record is from RNAcentral.